UAUUGGUCCUCUGAUAUGUCCUCCACAGGAGGUCUAUAUUGAGCAGAUUCUUUUUGGUGUUGGGUGGUGGAACUGGAGCUUGCUCCAUCCACUCCAUGCAUUGACCUGGUAUUGCAGUGUUUCCAGGACCAGUGC
Molecule: small nuclear RNA, 135 nt
Organism: Crocodylus porosus (Australian saltwater crocodile)
Lineage: Eukaryota; Metazoa; Chordata; Crocodylia; Crocodylidae
Gene: U2
Rfam family: U2 spliceosomal RNA
About the family: U2 is a small nuclear RNA (snRNA) component of the spliceosome (involved in pre-mRNA splicing). Complementary binding between U2 snRNA (in an area lying towards the 5' end but 3' to hairpin I) and the branchpoint sequence (BPS) of the intron results the bulging out of an unpaired adenosine, on the BPS, which initiates a nucleophilic attack at the intronic 5' splice site, thus starting the first of two transesterification reactions that mediate splicing.
Source: Ensembl